UGACACAGGGACCCUUUGUCACCCACACUUCUCCCAUCAAACAGCAUAUUCAUGGAGUCUUGGAGGAUGAUGCAUCUUUUGUGGAAACCCUGGGGACGAGGGAUGAGGCCAGUGAGCUGGUCAUCAGGGUCCUCGCUGAAGGCCAUGGACAAUUUGGCUUCUACCAUCCUCUCUACACUCAGCUGGUCACCAUGGCAAAGAAUGGGAAAUUUCUGAAUAUUGAUGGAUGAUGUCCUCGACCUGUAUGUCACUGAACUGUGGGAUAUAUUUACACAGUAUAGUCUUUACAACAUGCUCCAUCCUGCACCUCAAUAACUGCCAAUCCCCAGCAGAUGCCCAUCAAGAUGGCGAAAAGAGAUGCGGUUUUUGGCAGCAGAGCACAAUGCCCAAAGCAUCAUUUUGUUUUCUUGCCGGAGGUGGUGUCGGCUAAUACUAAGCUUUUGGACGUUGUCCCAGCAAAUGCUAUAUCCAGGGUCUAAAAUA
This is a long non-coding RNA of Saccostrea cuccullata (small rock oyster), 483 nucleotides long. RefSeq lists it as uncharacterized. The transcript has 3 exons. Lineage: Eukaryota; Metazoa; Mollusca; Bivalvia; Ostreida; Ostreidae. The record is from RefSeq and is a predicted model, not a curated record.